This 352-nucleotide unclassified non-coding RNA is filed under the name Melitaea cinxia (Glanville fritillary). Its description in RNAcentral is "misc RNA ENSMCXG00005014589.1". The record is from RNAcentral. Lineage: Eukaryota; Metazoa; Arthropoda; Insecta; Lepidoptera; Nymphalidae.
CUUAGAUAUAAUAAUUUGUAUAAUAUAGUAGAAUUUGUUAGUUGUAGUUAAGGAAAUACCUGUGCUCCCUCGUUUAAGUUAGGUCGUAAGUCCUGUUAAAAAAUUGGUUUGUAAGAUACAACUUGUUAAAAUGAAAUAAAAGAUACAUCUGUUCCCCACCCUCACUAUCCCCGAGUUCAUAGUAUAUAAGCAUAAUGAUUAAGAGCCUUAAGCCAGUGUGAAUGAAGAAGGAUGAAAGAAAGAUAUAGUAUGCUGAAUGAAAGUGCGGAAGAAUUAAUGCGAGAACUGGUAUGAAUGAGUUUCGAGAAUACAGACUCGCAUAACGUGCGGGGGCAUAGCAAUAGAUCGGAAG